CCUACGGGGCGCAGCAGUAGGGAAUCUUCCACAAUGGACGAAAGUCUGACGCAGCAACGCCGCGUGAGUGAAGAAGGUCUUCGGAUUGUAAAGCUCUGUUCUUGGUGAAGAUAAUGACGGUAGCCAAGGAGAAAGCUCCGGCUAACUACGUGCCAGCAGCCGCGGUAAUACGUAGGGAGCGAGCGUUGUCCGGAUUUACUGGGUGUAAAGGGUGCGCAGGCGGCUCUGCAAGUCAGGCGUGAAAGCUAGGGGCUCAACCCCUAAACUGCGCUUGAAACUGUGGAGCUUGAGUGAAGUAGAGGCAG
This 305-nucleotide ribosomal RNA is filed under the name uncultured bacterium. RNAcentral's name for it is "bacterial SSU rRNA". It matches the Rfam family "Bacterial small subunit ribosomal RNA", at positions 338 to 660 of the family's 1533-position model. The record is from RNAcentral.